Molecule: long non-coding RNA, 750 nt
Organism: Cucumis sativus (cucumber)
Lineage: Eukaryota; Viridiplantae; Streptophyta; Magnoliopsida; Cucurbitales; Cucurbitaceae
Exons: 2
Source: RefSeq, a predicted model, not a curated record
UCCGUUUGUUGCUUCAUUGAUUUUUCUGUAAUUCCUCAAAGAUUCCACGCCGUCACAGGCAUUCGCCGGCAAUUCCUCCGGCGAAACCCAUAAUCUCGAACUCCCUAUAUUUGAUUUGAUGCAGAAUGUUCGUUACCAUUCGCAUUCAGAUGGUUGAGCUCAUUCGUGUGACUGUCAGGCGGUGAAUUGAUCGAAAUCGGAGUUCUCGGGGUAGAUACAGGUUUGGUAACUGAUAUUUCAUGGUCUAUGUACUUCGAGCUUUCUGGUUUGCGGCAUGAGUGAAUGAGAGAACUCUGGCUUUCGCUACAGUGAUCUGUAAUGUGGAAAAAGAAAAAUGAAUUCAUGAGCAUCUUGAUCUUAACGACGAAAGCAUGCUUAAAGUAAAUUUAUGUCUCGACACUGAGAAUAGGCAGAAAAACAGCAGCUGAUUAAAAUUAAUUAGAUAGAACUGAAGGACAUUUGUCACUCUUGAUUUAGAAUUGAAGCCCCAAUUGCACGUUUUUAUCUUAAAAUGGAGAUGAAGAUAUUUCACUUUUUACAACAUCACUAUAUGUUGUUUCACUCCUCUUCAUCAAGGAAGACUUUAUUCCUUCUAUUAUUAGCAAAAAUAAUAAAUGUUGCUAGUUGUAUGAAUUAUUGGAAUUUAUUUGUGGUAACAUGGGACUAAAAUGUUACCAUAUGAUGUUUAUUUCUUUUUUUUUUUCAAAGGUAUACCGACAUUCUAUCCAUAAUACCACUGAGUUUUCUCCA